GACGAACGCUGGCGGCGUGCCUAAUACAUGCAAGUUGAGCGAUGAAGAUUGGUGCUUGCACCAAUUUGAAGAGCAGCGAACGGGUGAGUAACGCGUGGGGAAUCUGCCUUUGAGCGGGGGACAACAUUUGGAAACGAAUGCUAAUACCGCAUAAUAACUUUAAACAUAAGUUUUAAGUUUGAAAGAUGCAAUUGCAUCACUCAAAGAUGAUCCCGCGUUGUAUUAGCUAGUUGGUGAGGUAAAGGCUCACCAAGGCGAUGAUACAUAGCCGACCUGUGAGGGUGAUCGGCCACAUUGGGACUGAGACACGGCCCAAACUCCUACGGGAGGCAGCAGUAGGGAAUCUUCGGCAAUGGACGAAAGUCUGACCGAGCAACGCCGCGUGAGUGAAGAAGGUUUUCGGAUCGUAAAACUCUGUUGGUAGAGAAGAACGUUGGUGAGAGUGGAAAGCUCAUCAAGUGACGGUAACUACCCAGAAAGGGACGGCUAACUACGUG
This 497-nucleotide ribosomal RNA is filed under the name uncultured bacterium. Its description in RNAcentral is "partial 16S ribosomal RNA". It matches the Rfam family "Bacterial small subunit ribosomal RNA", at positions 28 to 507 of the family's 1533-position model. The record is from RNAcentral.